AGAUAACCAAAAAUGGAGAGCAAGCCUUCUUCUAUCCUUAUCAUUUGCAGCUUCCUCUUGUUUCUGGUCCUCCACUCCGUCCCCCAAGUCCUUGCUGCAAGAAAAUUAUUGGAUAUUUUCCCAAAUGGCUAUUUUCCUCCUGGGACAGCCCAAGUGCCACCUCCAACCCCAGAAACUAAGGUGAACUAUAAUAGCGAGACAAAAAAUGGCAGUCAUGCUCAAGUUGUUUCUGUUAAUGGGAAAACUAGGUCUGAAAGUGGCACGGUUAAUGGUAAGAAUGGACACCCGGUAUUCCAAGCAAAUACUCAUAAUGGGUAUGAAGCUGGUACAAUUAAAGGCGUCGAUGGCAAACCAAUAAUUCAAGUCAAAAAUACUACCGAUUAUCAAACUGCAAUAAUUAAUGGCAGCGAUGGAAAGCCUAAGUUUGAAGUCCACAAAUAUAAUAAUGGCACGGCAAUUAUUUCUGUUUUAGGCAGCGAUGGAAAGCCAAUCUACCAGAUAAAUUCUUUGCCUCCGCCAGGGGGCAUAGGGAACUCGUUCUUGCCUCCACCUGCUAAUUCUUACAAUCCAUUUCCCCCUCCACAGAUAUAAGGAAGAAGUACCUAUAUUAUAUAUGUGUGGUUGUUGUGCUGCUUAAUGCAUUACAUGUUUAGUUCUAUGAUGUUCCCUUUCGUAAGUUGGCGAUAAUCGGUUAACGAAUAAUAAUUGUUCACGAUUAUGCUCCUAUUUGCAAUUCAAUUUGAUUUUGUAAUCGUGUAUAUCAUAAAUAUGAUUCGGAAAACACUCAUUCCUGUCUUAAGG
Molecule: unclassified non-coding RNA, 801 nt
Filed under: Hevea brasiliensis (rubber tree)
Lineage: Eukaryota; Viridiplantae; Streptophyta; Magnoliopsida; Malpighiales; Euphorbiaceae
Source: RNAcentral